This is a small nucleolar RNA of Fundulus heteroclitus (mummichog), 72 nucleotides long. Lineage: Eukaryota; Metazoa; Chordata; Actinopteri; Cyprinodontiformes; Fundulidae. The record is from Ensembl.
UCAAGCCAGUGAUGAUACAAGUUAUCCCUGUCUGAAAAAUCCCCUGUGGAGUUACGGUAACCUGAGGCUAGG